This 295-nucleotide unclassified non-coding RNA is filed under the name uncultured fungus. Its description in RNAcentral is "sequence contains ITS1". The stretch from base 1 to 105 matches the Rfam family "5.8S ribosomal RNA", at positions 50 to 154 of the family's 154-position model. The record is from RNAcentral. Lineage: Eukaryota; Fungi.
GAAAUGCGAUACGUAAUGCGAAUUGCAGUAUUCGUGAAUCAUCAAAUCUUUGAACGCAAGUUGCGCUUUCGAGAUAUCCUUGAAAGCAUGCCUCUUUGAGUAUCGGUUACUAUUCUUUCGAUUCACGUCGAAGAGACUGGGCCUAUUCCACUCUUCCUCACAAGGGUCGAGCGGGAUUGACUUCAAGUUUAUGGAGCUAUGUCCUGGAUUUUUGGGAGCAAUCGUUCAGGAUUCCAUCAUAACCAUGCGAUACACUAAAGAUCUCAAAUGAGGUAAGACUACCCGCUGAAUUUAA